Long non-coding RNA from Leptinotarsa decemlineata (Colorado potato beetle), 425 nucleotides. Lineage: Eukaryota; Metazoa; Arthropoda; Insecta; Coleoptera; Chrysomelidae. The record is from RefSeq and is a predicted model, not a curated record.
AUUCUUCUGGCAACCAUCGUUAUUGGUGUGGCUGUAGCUUUUCCUCAUGACAACGCCCAUUAUAAGUUCGAGUAUGGAGUGCACGAUCCUCACACCCACGACCACAAGUCCCAGCACGAACACCGAGACGGACACCAUGCUACCGGGGGAUACACCCUCAAGGAGGCAGAUGGUACCCACCGUAUUGUGAAAUACAAAUCUGGACCCCAUACCGGUUUCGAAGCAGUUGUUGAGAGAGUUGGGCACGCCCAACAUCCAGCCCAUUACGGACAUGGACACGGUCAUGGUCAUGGAGGAGUUGGAGGAACCAGCUACGUUGGAGUCACCCACUGGGCUAACCAGGGCAGCGAUGGUCAUGAACAUUGAGGGGUACGGUUGAUGUUUCUGCUUCCUGUUACUGGAUCGAAUAAAUCUUUACAUUAUUA